GGGGAUGUAGCUUAGUGGUAGAGCGCAUGCUUCGCAUUUAUGAGGUCCUGGGUUCAAUCUCCAGCAUCUCCA
This is a non-coding RNA of Notolabrus celidotus (New Zealand spotty), 72 nucleotides long. The record is from the annotation of a RefSeq genome assembly. NCBI's taxonomy places the organism in Eukaryota, Metazoa, Chordata, Actinopteri, Labriformes, Labridae.